CAGCAGCCGCGGUAAUACAGAGGGUGCAAGCGUUGUUCGGAAUUACUGGGCGUAAAGCGUGCGUAGUCGGUAUUGAGAGUCACGGGUGAAAUCCCAGGGCUUAACCCUGGAACUGCCUGUGAGACCUCAGUACUAGAGUGUGAGAGGGGAUAGUGGAAUACCCAGUGUAGCGGUGAAAUGCGUAGAGAUUGGGUGGAACACCGGUGGCGAAGGCGGCUAUCUGGCUCACAACUGACGAUCAGGCACGAAAGCGUGGGGAGCAAACAGGAUUAGAUACCCUGGUAGUCCACGCCGUAAACUAUGCACACAAGCUGUAGUGGGAUUUUACUCCUGCUGUGGCGAAGCUAACGCAAUUAGUGUGCCGCCUGGGGAGUACGGUCGCAAGACUAAAACUCAAAUAAAUUGACGG
Molecule: ribosomal RNA, 409 nt
Filed under: uncultured rumen bacterium
Lineage: Bacteria
Description: bacterial SSU rRNA
Rfam family: Bacterial small subunit ribosomal RNA
Source: RNAcentral